CUUACAAGAACUGGUAGCCUGAAGACAGUAUUAAUAAACUGUCUAUGAAGGUUCCUAACUUAUAAAACGCUUUUAUCAAUAAAAAAUACCUCAACAAGGUAAUUAUUUUUUUAAAUCUGAUCGUUCGGUGGGCGUAGUGAAAAAUGUUAUAUAGGAAUAUUAUUAAAUCGGUUUUUAUAAAAUCUUUUAAAAUAAACGUCACACUAUCAGCCGAUUCUCCCGACUUGGACCGCAUAAUAUUUGAUAACGAAGUUCUUGUGUAUGCGAAAAAAAAAUCACUGAACAUGUACUGCUUGUAGAACUAAUAAUUGUAACUAUAUAUUUAAUAAUUUAAUAAUUGUAUAAGAAAAUAAAUCCAGACGCUUCUAUCAUAUUUGUAAAUGAUAUUUCAUACUUCAAUAUAUUGCUUAAAUUCUCACAAAACACCAAAAUGUUAGAUUUUGUCCUAGAGGCGUAUUAACGUAACGAUGGAAUGACCUUCUAAAAAUACCGCUUGUACCGCCUUCAUAUGAUCAAGGUAGAUUGAUUUUUAAUUAAUGAAAACCACAUAAUUACUUUCUUAUCGUAAUAUUAAUUGCACGACGCUUUCCGCGAGGAUAUGUUUUAUUAUUACAUGUUUCGAGAUGAACUAUAUGCAAAUGUUCACGUUUAUAUUAUUACUAAACACUGUUCGGAGCGUACAGAGGUUGCCGAAGACUAUGAAAUAUGGACGUAAUAGAGUUAAAAAUAUAAAGGGAAACUUUUAUUCGCCGUUGCAGAUAAGAAAUGAGAAGAUUUAUGCGUCGUCGAUCGAAAACUAUGCGUUUAGGCGAUCCAAGAUAAUGAACAACUUAAAUGAUAAUAAUGUAAUAUAUCUGAUCAAACCAAAAGAGACUGUGGACAGAAAAAUAAAUGAAUUGCUUAAUAAUAUUGUGGAUUAUAAAUAUGAAGAGAAAAAACAGCUCCGUAGUGACGACGGUUUGAGAAACUCAAUUUUGAAAGCGCUCAGGACGCUAGAGGGACGCGCCCCAAAAAAUACAUACGAUUUCUCUGAACUGGUCGCAUGAAAUAAAACAAAUGUUUAUCAUAAUUUAUUUAUUAUAUAAAAUAAGCCCUUUCAACAAAAUUAACAUAUAAAUAUAAAAAUUAUAACCCUGAUAAAUAACCUCAAUCUUAACAGAUUUUUUUUUUAUUUUAUUUCUGAACAUUACCCGCCCGCCAUUUUGUUUAUUUGACAGUACUUUGACAACUCGUGUUAAGCUUCUAAUAUUUUUAUUUUUUCUAGCGUUUUUAUGAACUUGUCAUUAUAAAAUCUUAUAAAACAUUACAUAAUACCGCCGGGCUCUAAAUAUACUCAAACAAAAAUCAGGUUACGUCAGCCAGGAACCUAACAUAGGCACGGAUACAUCACCUAACCCACCCCCGCGAUCUAAAUGACUGUAACACUAUACAGCUCUCAAACUCGGGAUAAAAUUGUAACCUUAGACCUCAUUG
This is a long non-coding RNA of Danaus plexippus (monarch butterfly), 1473 nucleotides long. RefSeq lists it as uncharacterized. The record is from RefSeq and is a predicted model, not a curated record. The transcript has 2 exons. Lineage: Eukaryota; Metazoa; Arthropoda; Insecta; Lepidoptera; Nymphalidae.